This 789-nucleotide long non-coding RNA is filed under the name Mytilus galloprovincialis (Mediterranean mussel). Lineage: Eukaryota; Metazoa; Mollusca; Bivalvia; Mytilida; Mytilidae. The record is from RNAcentral.
GUUGGAAUAAUCUAGUGAUGGAGAGUUACUCAAUUUCAAAGAAAAAAAAUUCCAGCAUCUGAUAUACAGUCUAGGAUUUAAACCAAACUCAAUGACUUUUCAGCAUAGAUUUCUAUUAUAGAUUUAUGAUCUUGAUUGUCCCUCUGGUAUCUUAAGAAUCCCCAAGGGUGACUGGGGUAUAGAAAUAUGGUCACUUGGUCUUCUCCCGACCGGCAGUAAAACGCUUGCUGAAGUGGGGCGUCCGUUUGGCUGUGCGGGAUGUAUCAAGUUCGCAGUCACGUCCGUCAGAAGGGGACGUUAAAUCCGAUGCCUCGUGUAAAGAGAGUGCCACGCUCUUUGCACGUUAAGAACCCUUGCAACAACUCUUUGAGGGGUCCGUAGGUGGCCUGUUGCAAGGCAAAAUUUCUGUCCCUAUCCAAUAUACCCUCAUUUUCCAGUGGCAGUCCAAAUUUCCCCGACCAUCAUCCUAGAUGGCCUCUAUUACAACAACCUACCUAUUGUAUUUAUUGUGAACUUGUUCUCGUCCUGAAUAUGCAUGAAAUAUUUGCCACUGGACGUUAAGCAACCAACAAUCAAUCAAUCAAUGGUAUCUUAAGUCCCUAUUUUUCUACUCUUUAACUUCCGGAGUCUUUGCCUUGGUUGUAACUCAUCAAACUUUUUUCCACAAUUCGGAUAUACUGCUUUUUUAUGUUAUCGAUAUAUAUAGUCAGUGUUGAGUUUUUUCUUUGAAAUGGAUUCUAUAUGAUCAAUAUAUUCUGUAUGAUCAAUACAUGUGUCGAAAUAGUCAGC